GACAUUUGGUAAAGACUGUUGAAGCCACCUGGUCCCAGCAGAUCCCGGAAGGCGGCCACAUUCGCUGGUGCUGGGACAAGGUUGUUAAGGGUGCAGCCUGGUGCCAGAAGUGU
Panthera pardus (leopard) is the source of this 113-nucleotide ribosomal RNA. Lineage: Eukaryota; Metazoa; Chordata; Mammalia; Carnivora; Felidae. The record is from Ensembl.